Molecule: long non-coding RNA, 1309 nt
Filed under: Oryctolagus cuniculus (rabbit)
Lineage: Eukaryota; Metazoa; Chordata; Mammalia; Lagomorpha; Leporidae
Description: lncRNA (ENSOCUG00000031666.1)
Source: RNAcentral
AUGCUGAAUUGUCUGGAAGGCUCCCAGUGUCGCAGGAACUGCCUGGUGGACGAACACAGGGGUUUGUUGAGUAAAGGGGGUUACAUGAGCACCAAAGGGACUGGAACAUUUUCCUACCUCUGUCCCCUCAUAGGUGACCUGAUCAGCAUGGCGGCCAUCCCAGGAGGACCCAGUCCCCGCAGGAGCACAGAUGCAGGCCAGCGGGGAACGGCGGUCAUCAGUUUGACAGCCCAUCACGAGAGAGGAGAGUGGAGACUCUCCAAACCGGCAUUUCAUCCUGCUCAAAGACACAGAAGCUGGCUUGGGUAGGAAGCAGGGCAUGGUGGGUGCAGCAGUAAGUGAGAGGCCCCACCUCAGAUGGAGGACCAGGAGAACGAUACCUUGGCUCAUUUACCUGGGUCCAACAUCAUCACUCCCUAUAGAGUCCCAGAUUGUGUCUCCAUGGUGUGGAAGAGUACAGAGUGGAUUCAUACACAAAGGUGAAUAUGUCCAGGACCUGUGGGUUUGCUUUACCAUCCAGGUGGCUCCAUGUGCAGAUGUGGCUGUGCCCCCAUUAAACAACCACCCCUUCACUCAUUUCAUUCUCACUUGCCUUUAAAGACACUCCUCACACCUACCUUAACCUGUCUAUACAUGCAUAGUUAUUCCCCUUCCUGUUCCAUUCCCUCAUUUGUCUGAUUGAUGCACUGUGGAUAGAGAUUCCUCCUAAUUCCUGAGUCAGCACCAGUAUGUGUUUCCUUCUGCCAAUAUAGGGAGUUCUCAGGCAGUGACCCUGGGUCAGGAGCACGGAGAGCUGCUGUGUUUGGUGUGGCCCCUGUCUGCCCUCCUGAGUGGCAUUAGUGUGGGACCCUCAUUGCCCACAGGAGCAGGGGAGAGCCCUAUAAGAAUAGAGAGUACUAAGGCCAGUGGUCCACAAGUGGCUGUAACCCUUCCCUCUCUUCCUUCCCAGUACCUCUGGGUACAGACGCUUUAGGUCUGCCUGGAGGAGACUUCAUGUCAAAAUGACUCAUCAGUGACUGGAUCAGUGUAUCUGCCUGUCCUGGACCUCCUGGGCAAGCAGAUGUGGCAGGGCUGUGUGACAGUGUCUGAGUCCCACUGUUGUUGGAUAGGAUGGGGUCAGAGCCCUGGUCCUAUGCCUUCAUUCCAGAGGGCUGAAGCCAUUUGUGGUGCUGACAGUGUAGCCUGGCUAGGCGUUGUGCCUGUCCCCGCUGGUGUUGCCCUAAGGAGUGCCCAUUGACUGUUGGUCUCGAGGGCAGCCCAGGAAUUUCUUACUGAGGUCAGGCUGCCAGGGCACCAGAUGGGUUCAGCC